RNAcentral lists this ribosomal RNA (241 nucleotides) under uncultured bacterium. RNAcentral describes it as "partial 16S ribosomal RNA". It matches the Rfam family "Bacterial small subunit ribosomal RNA", at positions 15 to 252 of the family's 1533-position model. The record is from RNAcentral.
GACCAUGGCUCAGGAUGAACGCUAGCGGCAGGCUUAACACAUGCAAGUCGAGGGGCAGCGCGGGAUAGCAAUAUCCUGGCGGCGACCGGCGGAAGGGUGCGUAACGCGUGAGCGACAUGCCCGUUGCCCGGGGACAACCGGUGGAAACGCCGACUAAUCCCCGAUGGGAUAUUGUGCCGCAUGGCACGAUAUUGAAAGUUACGGCGGCGACGGAUUGGCUCGCGUCCGAUUAGCUUGUUGG